Molecule: non-coding RNA, 95 nt
Filed under: Cellulomonas cellasea
Lineage: Bacteria; Bacillati; Actinomycetota; Actinomycetes; Micrococcales; Cellulomonadaceae
Also listed under: 1 other name
Description: SAM-I sequence
Rfam family: SAM riboswitch aptamer (S box leader)
About the family: The SAM riboswitch is found upstream of a number of genes which code for proteins involved in methionine or cysteine biosynthesis in Gram-positive bacteria. The SAM riboswitch acts at the level of transcription termination control.
Source: RNAcentral
UCACCAUCCAGAGCGGCCGAGAGUCCUGGCUCGUCGACGCCGCAGCAACCCCCCUCUCACGAGGGUGUGGGUGCUUCCGCCAGGUUCGAUGGAGU